CCGAACUCACCGCCGUUGAAAAGUUGGGAGAUGAGAUAGGUCUAGGGGUGAAAAGCCAAUCGAACUAGGAGAUAGCUCGUUCUCUCCGAAAUGCAUUUAGGUGCAGCCUUGAACUGAGAUAUGUGGGGGUAGAGCUCUGUAUGAUCUAGGGGGCGUACUGCUUACCGAAAUCAAGCAAACUUCGAAUACCAUAUAUUAUGUUCAGGAGUGAGUCCGUGGAUGACAAGGUCCUCGGACGAGAGGGGAACAGCCCAGACCGCCAGCUAAGGUCCCUAAUUAUGUCUAAGUGGGAAAGGAGGUGGAUAUUCACAGACAACCAGGAGGUUGGCUUAGAAGCAGCCAUACCUUAAAAGAGUGCGUAAUAGCUCACUGGUCGAGAGUAUCUGCGCCGAAGAUGUAACGGGGCUAAGACAUAAACCGAAGCUGUGGAAGAUGCUUUCGCAUCUUGGUAGGAGAGCGUUCUGUAAGCCGAUGAAGGCAGGCUGCAAGGCCUGCUGGAGGUAUCAGAAGUGAGAAUGCAGGAAUGAGUAGCGAGAAGGCGGGCGAGAAUCCCGCCGGCCGGAAGUCCAAGGUUUCCAGGGGAAGGCUUGUCCGCCCUGGGGAAGUCGGGACCUAAGCAUAAGCAAAAUUGUGAUGGCGAAUGGAAAACAGGUUAAUAUUCCUGUACCGCUGUUAUCGCUUGAGAGACGGAGUGACGCAGGAAGGUAUGCGAGAAGGCUGACGGUUUAGCCUUUCUAAGGGCCCAGCGUGGGCGUGCAGGCAAAUCCGCACGCCUAAACGUGAGACCUGACGGGGAAGUGCAUUUGCAUAAGUCGCAGAUCCUACACUGCCAAGAAAAACUUCUAUCGAUGAGAAGCAGCGCCCGUACUGUAAACCGACACAGGUGGACAGAGUGAGAAACUUAAGGCCGACAGGAUAACUCUAGCUAAGGAACUCUGCAAAAUAGCCCCGUAACUUCGGGAGAAGGGGUGCCUGACAUACCUGAAGGAGAGAAGCGCUCCCAGGGGAAACAGGCCGCAGUGAAGAGUCUCAAGCAACUGUUUACCAAAAACACAGGUCUAUGCUAAGCUGAAAGGCGACGUAUAUGGGCUGACACCUGCCCAGUGCCGGAAGGUUAAGAGGAGGAUUGAGAGAUCCGAAUUGAAGCCCCGGUGAACGGCGGCCGUAACUAUAACGGUCCUAAGGUAGCGAAAUUCCUUGUCGGGUAAGUUCCGACCUGCACGAAUGGUGAAAUGAUUUGAGAGCUGUCUUGGCUGGAGACCUGGUGAAGUUGUAAUGCCGGUGAAGAUACCGGCUACCUGCAGUAGGACGGAAAGACCCCGUGGAGCUUUACUGUAGCUUGGCAUUGGGUU
Molecule: ribosomal RNA, 1352 nt
Filed under: human metagenome
Description: bacterial LSU rRNA
Rfam family: Bacterial large subunit ribosomal RNA
Source: RNAcentral